Molecule: ribosomal RNA, 460 nt
Filed under: uncultured bacterium
Lineage: Bacteria
Description: partial 16S ribosomal RNA
Rfam family: Bacterial small subunit ribosomal RNA
Source: RNAcentral
CCUACGGGCGGCAGCAGUGAGGAAUAUUGGUCAAUGGACGGAAGUCUGAACCAGCCAUGCCGCGUGCAGGAAGACGGCUCUAUGAGUUGUAAACUGCUUUUGUACAAGGGUAAACCUGAAUACGUGUAUUCAGCUGAAAGUACUGUACGAAUAAGGAUCGGCUAACUCCGUGCCAGCAGCCGCGGUAAUACGGAGGAUCCAAGCGUUAUCCGGAUUUAUUGGGUUUAAAGGGUGCGUAGGCGGAUUGAUAAGUUAGAGGUGAAAUGUCCGAGCUUAACUCGGGAACUGCCUCUAAUACUGUUGGUCUAGAGAGUAGAUGCGGUAGGCGGAAUGUAUGGUGUAGCGGUGAAAUGCUUAGAGAUCAUACAGAACACCGAUUGCGAAGGCAGCUUACCAAUCUAUAUCUGACGUUGAGGCACGAAAGCGUGGGGAGCAAACAGGAUUAGAUACCCGGGUAGUC